RNAcentral lists this ribosomal RNA (245 nucleotides) under uncultured Actinomycetales bacterium. Its description in RNAcentral is "partial 16S ribosomal RNA". It matches the Rfam family "Bacterial small subunit ribosomal RNA", at positions 88 to 334 of the family's 1533-position model. Lineage: Bacteria; Bacillati; Actinomycetota; Actinomycetes; Actinomycetales. The record is from RNAcentral.
UGCUCGAGUGGCGAACGUGUGAGUAACACGUGAGUAACCUGCCCUUGACUUUGGGAUAACUUCAGGAAACUGGGGCUAAUACCGGAUAGGAGCUCCUGCUGCAUGGUGGGGGUUGGAAAGUUUCGGCGGUUGGGGAUGGACUCGCGGCUUAUCAGCUUGUUGGUGGGGUAGUGGCUUACCAAGGCUUUGACGGGUAGCCGGCCUGAGAGGGUGACCGGCCACAUUGGGACUGAGAUACGGCCCAG